CUAAUUAUUGUUGUUUGUUUAUUUGUUGUUUGUUUGAGCUCUGUUGCCCAGGCUUGAGUGCAGUGGCACAAACAUAGCUCACUGCAGCCUCAACUCCCUUGAGCCAAAGCAAUCCUCCUGCUUCAGCCUCCGACAUAGCUGGGACCACAGGCAUGUACUACCACCAUGCCUGGCUUUUUUUUUUUUUUUUUCCAGAAGCAAGGUGUCCCUAUAUUGUCCUGGCUGGUCGAACUCCUGGGCUCAAGCGAUCCUCCCACCUCGGCCUCCCAAAAUGCAGAGAGUACAGGUGUGAGCCACUGCACCUGGCCCCAAUUACCAUUUUUCUUUCUUUCUUUUUUUUUUUCUUUUUGAGAUGGAGUCUCACUCCGUUGCCCAGACUGGAGUGCAGUGGCAUGAUCUCCACUCACUGCAACCUCUGCCUCCCAGGUUCAAGCAAUUCUGCCUCAGCCUCCCAAGCAGCUGGGAAUACAGGUGCCUGCCACCAUGCCCAGCUAAUUUUUUGUAUUUUUA
Molecule: long non-coding RNA, 510 nt
Filed under: Homo sapiens (human)
Lineage: Eukaryota; Metazoa; Chordata; Mammalia; Primates; Hominidae
Description: HSALNT0181177
Source: RNAcentral